This 492-nucleotide ribosomal RNA is filed under the name uncultured bacterium. RNAcentral's name for it is "partial 16S ribosomal RNA". It matches the Rfam family "Bacterial small subunit ribosomal RNA", at positions 29 to 507 of the family's 1533-position model. The record is from RNAcentral.
AUUGAACGCUGGCGGCAUGCUUUACACAUGCAAGUCGAGCGGUAACAGGCCUUCGGGUGCUGACGAGUGGCGAACGGGUGAGUAAUGCAUCGGAACGUACCCAGAGGUGGGGGAUAACGCAGCGAAAGCUGUGCUAAUACCGCAUGUGAUCUGAGGAUGAAAGCGGGGGACCGAGCAGCAAUGUUUGGCCUCGCGCCUUUGGAGCGGCCGAUGUCGGAUUAGCUAGUUGGUGGGGUAAAGGCCUACCAAGGCGACGAUCCGUAGCUGGUCUGAGAGGACGACCAGCCACACUGGGACUGAGACACGGCCCAGACUCCUACGGGAGGCAGCAGUGGGGAAUUUUGGACAAAGGGCGCAAGCCUGAUCCAGCAAUGCCGCGUGCGGGAAGAAGGCCUUCGGGUUGCAAACCGCUUUUGGCAGGAACGAAACGGUGUCCGCUAAUACCGGGCGCUAAUGACGGUACCUGCAGAAUAAGCACCGGCUAACUACGUG